Long non-coding RNA from Agrilus planipennis (emerald ash borer), 1085 nucleotides. RefSeq lists it as uncharacterized. The record is from RefSeq and is a predicted model, not a curated record. The transcript has 7 exons. NCBI's taxonomy places the organism in Eukaryota, Metazoa, Arthropoda, Insecta, Coleoptera, Buprestidae.
GUGGGACCGGUGAUCGCUUUGGCUGGCAUCAGUUCUUUAACAUAAGGACGUAACAUCACCAUGUCGCACAAGGAAAAGAAAAAAAGCUAAAGGAUUCCUUGCUUCAAAAAGAAGAACGGAAUUUUUAGAGAGGACAUUUGCCUAUCCAUUUUUUAAAACUGGUUUGAUUUAAAAAUUUGAAGUAUGGCAAAGUAAUUAAAUUGACCAGCAUAUUUUCUUAUGGUUAUCGUCAAUAAACAUUUAUAUGAAGGAACAUCAGAAGAACUCCAGAUACAAUUAAAUUAUGAAAUUAUGGAACAUUGGUUGUAUUAGUCCUCAUUUGCUCCGGAAAAAGCAAUAAAGUGCCUUUUUCCAUUGGGAACGAAGUCAGUGUGCUGAAAAAUGGAUUUAUGACAAUGAACUGGUGUUUUUUAGGCACCGUUCGCCCAAUUAUUAAAAAGAAACAAAUUUGAAAAGAAGCAAUAUUGUACAAAAAAUGCAAAUGCAAUCACAAUAUGAUGAAGAGCUUCUCUAAAUAUGCCAUGCCUUCGACACCACAGGGAAUCUUCUAAUACUUUUGGAUUCGUGACCUAAGAGAAGUGGAGCCCCUUCAUUUCUCCCUCCCCUUGGACUUGAAAAUAUGUGCAGUUCAAUUACAGCUGCAUAUGUGAUGUUCUGUCUGUUUGCCUGCUAUGGGGCUCAUUUCACCAUGGGUGGUAUUAGUUUUCCUUUCAUAAGCAUCUGUUAUUAAAAGGCAUUUCUCUGUUGUCAACGCUUAGAUAUAAAACUGUAGCACCGUAAAGUAAUCCUCUAGAUUGUUGCAGAAAAUGAGAGAGAAUAAAGUUCAGUUUGGUCAUACUGAUACAACCAAUGUCUACAUGGGUGUGGUCUUUUGUAAAGUAUGCUGUUCUCGUCUUCACCUUGUAACAUUAUGCAGUCAAUUUUGAAGCGGCGAGUGAGAAUAACUGGGGAUUUAUUUGCAUUUCACUGGAACAAAUUGUCUGCUGUAAUAUUUCUUCUGGAUUUGUUUUACUUUUCACACCUGCAAACUUUGGAACCUUACAGUUCAUUAAGAUCGACGUUGGAGAAGACAAAGAUGAUCCCAU